RNAcentral lists this ribosomal RNA (435 nucleotides) under uncultured bacterium. RNAcentral's name for it is "partial 16S ribosomal RNA". It matches the Rfam family "Bacterial small subunit ribosomal RNA", at positions 28 to 507 of the family's 1533-position model. The record is from RNAcentral.
GAUGAACGCUGGCGGUAUGCUUAACACAUGCAAGUCGAACGGACUCUUCGGAGUUAGUGGCGGACGGGUGGGUAACGCGUGAGAAUCUGGCUUUGGGUUCGGGACAACCACUGGAAACGGUGGCUAAUACCGGAUGUGCCGAGAGGUAAAAGAGAAAUUGCCUGAAGAUGGGCUCGCGUCUGAUUAGCUAGUUGGUGAGGUAAAGGCUCACCAAGGCAGCGAUCAGUAGCUGGUCUGAGAGGAUGACCAGCCACACUGGGACUGAGACACGGCCCAGACUCCGACGGGAGGCAGCAGUGGGGAAUUUUCCGCAAUGGGCGAAAGCCUGACGGAGCAAUACCGCGUGAGGGAAGAAGGCUCUUGGGUUGUAAACCUCUUUUCUUAGGGAAGAACAAAAUGACGGUACCUAAGGAAUCAGCAUCGGCUAACUCCGUG